UGCAAAGCUUUAAUUUACUUAGCCAUCUUAACUUAGCCAGCACCACAUAGGAGAAAAAGGGUGUGAAAUGUCAUCAAGCACGCCAGUCCUGCAUUGGAGGAAAUAACUUUGUGGUAGGAAGCUGAAAACGCUUCACUUAUCAGAGAUCUUAUGUGACGUGGUGUUGUAACCUUGAAAAGAACCUGUGCCCAGCAGAGCCACACCAUAGGCUCCUUUUCCCUCCUCCAUUACUAUCACCAUCACCACCACCACCACCACCACCCACACCACCCUGCCUGGAGUGAUUACCCCACACAAACAAAACAUGUGGCAGCACCAGAAGUGAGCAUCAGUAACAGGGGAAGAAGGCUAAAGCAGAGGUGAGGUUUCUGACCCUUUCAUAGGCAGGAUUUGGAAAGUUGAAGUGGAGCUAAGUGUGCAUCAUGAAGCAAGAAAGUGAAUGAAACUGUGCACAGUUUUGACAAAACAAAAGAAAACAUGCAAACACACUAAAGCAAAAAAAUGUCAGGACAACAGUAGCUAUAACUACAUUAUAACAUCCACUACAUGAAAGAAUUUAUCCUGCAUGGACCAAUCCUACUGCAAGGUGUAAAUCACUGUGCCUGAUGGGGAAAAAAAUUUUUGAAGCUUGUUUGACCAAUGAUGGCCGUAUCAAAACAGGUUGGUCAGGAUCAGGCCGAGAAGGGGCAGAUACAGCUGCAGUGUGCAUGAUGCCCUUGAGGUGGGCAUUGAUAUCACCAUCCUUGCCCCGGGGUAUGACAAAGGGAUUGAGUCUUGUUCAUACGAGGAUGUAGGUGAUGCCAGUGGCCGAUGCUGGUCAGACUCAACAGAGGUUCGAGUGCUGGAAGAAGCUGACCAAUUACCAGAAGAGGAGCGAGUGCAUUCGUCUUUUGUUCCUUC
Scylla paramamosain (green mud crab) is the source of this 900-nucleotide long non-coding RNA. RefSeq lists it as uncharacterized. The record is from RefSeq and is a predicted model, not a curated record. The transcript has 7 exons. Lineage: Eukaryota; Metazoa; Arthropoda; Malacostraca; Decapoda; Portunidae.